Molecule: ribosomal RNA, 664 nt
Filed under: uncultured bacterium
Lineage: Bacteria
Description: bacterial SSU rRNA
Rfam family: Bacterial small subunit ribosomal RNA
Source: RNAcentral
GUUUUCGGAUGGAAGACUGUAAUUCUUAGUGGCGGACGGGUGAGUAACGCGUGGGCAACCUGCCCUAUACAGGGGGAUAGCAGCUGGAAACGGCUGGUAAGACCGCAUAAGUCGGCGAGACCGCAUGGUUUUGUCGGGAAAUGAGCAAUCAGGUAUAGGAUGGGCCCGCGUCCGAUUAGCCAGUUGGCAGGGUAAAAGCCUACCAAAGCAACGAUCGGUAGCCGGACUGAGAGGUCGGACGGCCACAUUGGGACUGAGACACGGCCCAAACUCCUACGGGAGGCAGCAGUGGGGGAUAUUGCACAAUGGAGGAAACUCUGAUGCAGCGACGCCGCGUGAGUGAAGAAGUAUUUCGGUAUGUAAAGCUCUAUCAGCAGGGAAGAUGAUGACGGUACCUGACUAAGAAGCCCCGGCUAACUACGUGCCAGCAGCCGCGGUAAUACGUAGGGGGCAAGCGUUAUCCGGAUUUACUGGGUGUAAAGGGRGCGCAGGCGGUUUGGCAAGUUGAGAGUGGAAGCAGGGGGCUCAACCCCCUGACUGCUCCCAAAACUGUUAAACUUGAGUAUGGGAGAGGCAGGCGGAAUUCCUAGUGUAGCGGUGAAAUGCUUAGAUAUUAGGAAGAACACCGGUGGCGAAGGCGGCCUGCUGGACCAAAACUGACGCU